Molecule: ribosomal RNA, 425 nt
Filed under: uncultured bacterium
Lineage: Bacteria
Description: bacterial SSU rRNA
Rfam family: Bacterial small subunit ribosomal RNA
Source: RNAcentral
GUGGGGAAUCUUGCGCAAUGGGCGAAAGCCUGACGCAGCCAUGCCGCGUGAAUGAUGAAGGUCUUAGGAUUGUAAAAUUCUUUCACCGGGGACGAUAAUGACGGUACCCGGAGAAGAAGCCCCGGCUAACUUCGUGCCAGCAGCCGCGGUAAUACGAAGGGGGCUAGCGUUGCUCGGAAUUACUGGGCGUAAAGGGCGCGUAGGCGGACAGUUUAGUCAGAGGUGAAAGCCCAGGGCUCAACCUUGGAAUUGCCUUUGAUACUGGCGAUCUUGAGUAUGGAAGAGGUAUGUGGAACUCCGAGUGUAGAGGUGAAAUUCGUAGAUAUUCGGAAGAACACCAGUGGCGAAGGCGACAUACUGGUCCAUUACUGACGCUGAGGCUCGAAAGCGUGGGGAGCAAACAGGAUUAGAUACCCGUGUAGUCC